AAAUUCUUUUGCAGAUAUAAUUGCAAUUGAAGCUGUACCACUUGAUCGCAUCGACCCCAAUUUGGUUCAAAAGGGCCUCACUGAUUUCACUCAGAAGCUAAACACUGCAUCAACCGAUGUAGAAAAAGCUGAAGCCCAGAUUGGAAUUGAUGUACACAGCGCCCUUAAUGCUGCUCUCACUGGUUAAGCAAACUGCAACCUUCUUCGUCCUUGGUGAAUUCUAUUUUCCUUUGUUUCCUACUGAUAAACUUCUACACCCUUUUUCGCGUAAGCUGAUAAUGAUGAUGAUUUCUAUUUUAAGUCCUGCAUUGCUUGAAUAAAUGCUUCGGACAAGGUUUUCCUUUACAUAUCUUAUUUGCUGCUAUGUAAGCUGUACGCUAAACUGCAGUAAUGAGAAUAGAUUGU
This 405-nucleotide unclassified non-coding RNA is filed under the name Hevea brasiliensis (rubber tree). The record is from RNAcentral. Lineage: Eukaryota; Viridiplantae; Streptophyta; Magnoliopsida; Malpighiales; Euphorbiaceae.